GAGGACUCAUGCCUUAAGCACGAUUACUUUGAGUCAUUUCCUUUUCUUUUCUUCCAUUUUCUCAGAUGCUCAGCAGCCUUCAGUUUUGGGCCAGUGGUCGAUAAAUAGGGAGCCCGGUGCCUGCUGAGCAGUCACCCCCCUUCCUGCGUGCCCCCAGCCACCACUCUGCUUUCCAUCUCUGGACUCUCCUGUUCUAGAUGUGCCGUAGAAACGGUGUCAUGUGUGUUCUGAGACGGAGGCACCAAGGCUGAAUGGAAUUCAGCGUCAGGAAAAGCCCUCUUUCUGCUCCAAAGGUGGUGAAGUGCAUGAAGAUGAAGCAGGCCCCGGAAGUCCUGGGCAGCGCCAACGGGAAGACCCCGAGCUGCGACGUGAGCCGAGAGUGCUCCGUGUUCCUGAGCAAAGCCCAGCUCUCGGCCGGCCUGCAGGACGGGGUUGUGCAGAAGUUCAACGGCCACGACGCGUUGCCAUUCAUCCCGGCCGAGAGGCUGAAAGACCUCACCUCCCGCGUCUUCAAUGGAGAGCCUGGUGCUCACGAUGCCAAACUGCGUUUUGAACCCCAGGAAGUGAAGGGACUUGGGACCCCACCUCACACUACCCCUGUCAAAAAUGGCUCUCCAGAAAUUAAGCUGAAAAUCACCAAAACCUACAUGAAUGGGAAACCUCUCUUUGAGUCCUCCAUAUGUGGCGACGGUGCGGCCGCCGUGUCCCGUUCGGAAGCAGACGGACAGAGACCGGAGCACAAGGCCCGGAGGAGCCGCAAGAGAAGCGCACAGCGUGGCUCUUUGCUGGAGCACGGCCGCGGGGAGGCUGCCCUGGUGUCCAGGGUCUCCAGUCCUGUGGACAAAAAGAUUCCAGCUAAGAGAGAGUCCUGUCUGAACAGCAGCAGAGACGAAGGCCAGCCGUUGAGGUUCGGGGUCGGGGACCUGGUGUGGUCCAAGGUGUCCGGCUACCCGUGGUGGCCCUGCAUGGUCUCUGCCGACCCGCUCCUGCACAGCCACACCAGGCUGAAAGGUCAGAAAAAGAGUGCACGCCAGUAUCACGUACAGUUCUUUGGUGAUGCCCCAGAAAGAGCUUGGAUAUUUGAGAAGAGCCUUGUAGCUUUUGAAGGAGAAGGACAGUUUGAAAAAUUAUGCCAGGAAAGUGCCAAGCAGGCACCCACGAAAGCUGAGAAAAUUAAGCUGUUGAAGCCCAUUUCAGGGAAGUUGAGGGCCCAGUGGGAAAUGGGCCUCGUUCAGGCCGAGGCCGCCGCGCGCAUGGCGGUGGAGGAGCGGAGGGCCAAGUUCACGUUCCUCUACGUGGGGGACCAGCUCCGCCUCAACCCCCAUGUGGCCAAGGAGGCGGGUGUGGCUGCGGAGUCUCUGGGAGAAGCGGCAGAGCCCUCAGGAGGCGGAGAAGACAGCCCUAAGUCCUCGGGGGAGGAGGGCGCGCCUGUCAAGAGGAGACGGAGGGCCAAGCUGUCCAGCUCCACCGAGAACCUCCCUGGCGACCCGGGGCUGGGGCGGGCCACACCGCGGAAGGUGGCUGAGGCCGACCCCAGGAGGGGUGCGGGAUCCCCCCCCGGCAGGAAGAAGGCCACAGCCUCCACCCCAAGGAGUCGGAGGGGCGACGCGGCGUCCCGGUUCCUGGUCUUCUGUCAGAAGCACAGGGACGAGGUGGUCGCCGAGCACCCGGACGCCUCUGCCGAGGAGAUCGAGGAGCUACUCGCCUCGCAGUGGAGCGCGCUCAGCGAGAAGCAGAAGGCGCGCUAUCACACCAAGUUUGCGCUCGCGGCUCCGGCCCCGUCCGAGGAAGGCUCUGGUAACUUCAGUGGGAAGAGAAGGAGCCACGCGAAGAGGACCCAGGGCCUGAGCGGAGACGCUGAGGCUGAGGAGGCCCCCAGGAAGAGGCUUAGGACCGACAGGCUCGGCCUGCGGAAGAGAGAGGCGAUCACUGACAAAGCAGCCCGCACGAGCUCCUGCAAGGCCCUCGAGGCGGCGUCCUCGCUGAAGAGUCAGGCAGCCACGAAACACCUGUCUGACGCCUGCAAGCCCCUGAAGAAGCGCCACCGGGCCCCGGCAGCAGCCGCCGCCACCCUCACCUUCAGCAAAAGCUCGUCUCCUUCCGCGUCCUUAACUGAGCACGAGGUCUCGGACGGCCCCGGAGACGAGCCCCCGGAGUCCCCGGACGAGAGCGCGGACGAAACCCAGACCGAGGCGUCCCUCUCCUCUAAGAGGUCCGAGCGCGGGGCCACCGCCAGGAAGGAGCACGUGUGCCAGCUGUGCGAGGAGCCGGGCAGCCUGGUGCUGUGCGAGGGUCCCUGCUGCGGCGCCUUCCACCUGGCCUGCCUAGGCCUCUCCCGCAGGCCGGAGGGGCGGCUCCUGUGCGGAGAGUGCACCUCAGGGACCCACUCGUGCUUCGUGUGUAAGGAGAGCAAGAGUGACGUCAAGCGCUGCGUGGUGUCGCAGUGUGGGAAGUUCUACCACGAGGCCUGCGUGCGCAGGUUCCCCCUGACAGUGUUCGAGAGCCGGGGCUUCCGAUGCCCGCUUCACAGCUGCCUGAGUUGCCACGCCUCCAACCCCUCGAACCCAAGGCCCUCGAAAGGUAAGAUGCUGCGGUGUGUCCGGUGCCCCGUCGCCUACCACGGAGGGGAUGCGUGUCUGGCAGCGGGCUGCUCGGUGAUCGCGCCCAACAGCAUCAUCUGCACGAACCAUUUCACCGCCCGGAAGGGCAAGAGGCACCACGCGCACGUCAACGUGAGCUGGUGCUUCGUGUGCUCCAAAGGGGGGAGCCUGCUGUGCUGUGAGUCCUGCCCGGCGGCCUUCCACCCCGACUGCCUGAGCAUCGACAUGCCGGACGGCAGCUGGUUCUGCAACGACUGCAGGGCCGGGAAGAAGCUGCACUUCCAGGACAUCAUCUGGGUGAAGCUCGGGAACUACAGAUGGUGGCCGGCAGAAGUUUGCCAUCCCAAAAAUGUCCCCCCAAAUAUUCAGAAAAUGAAGCACGAGGUUGGAGAAUUCCCUGUGUUUUUCUUUGGGUCUAAAGAUUAUUACUGGACGCAUCAGGCGCGAGUGUUCCCGUACAUGGAGGGGGACCGGGGCAGCCGCUACCAGGGGGUCAGAGGGAUCGGAAGAGUCUUCAAAAACGCACUGCAAGAAGCUGAAGCCCGUUUCCGUGAAAUCAAACUUCAAAGGGAAGCCAGAGAGACGCAGGAGAGCGAGCGCAGGCCCCCGCCCUACAAGCACAUCAAGGUGAACAAGCCCUACGGGAAGGUGCAGGUCCACACAGCGGACAUCUCUGAGAUCCCCAAGUGCAACUGCAAGCCCACCGACGAGAACCCGUGCGGCUCGGAGUCGCAGUGUCUGAACCGCAUGCUCAUGUUCGAGUGCCACCCCCAAGUGUGCCCCGCGGGCGAGUCCUGCCAGAACCAGUGCUUCACCAAGCGCCAGUACCCCGAGACCAAGAUCGUCAGGACGGACGGCAAGGGCUGGGGCCUGGUGGCCAAGAGGGACAUCAGGAAGGGGGAGUUUGUGAACGAGUACGUGGGCGAGCUGAUUGACGAGGAGGAGUGCAUGGCGAGGAUCAAGCGUGCGCACGAGAACGACAUCACCCAUUUCUACAUGCUCACCAUAGACAAGGACCGCAUCAUCGACGCCGGCCCCAAGGGGAAUUACUCCCGGUUCAUGAACCACAGCUGCCAGCCCAACUGCGAGACCCUCAAGUGGACGGUGAACGGGGACACGCGCGUGGGCCUGUUCGCCGUGUGUGACAUCCCCGCAGGGACAGAGCUGACCUUCAACUACAACCUCGACUGUCUGGGCAACGAGAAGACGGUGUGUCGCUGCGGAGCCUCCAACUGCAGUGGCUUCCUCGGUGACAGGCCGAAGACGUCAGCACCCCUGUCCUCGGAGGAGAAGGGCAAGAAGACCAAGAAAAAGGCCAGGAGGCGCCGCACGAAAGGCGAAGGGAAGAAGCCGUCCGAGGACGAGUGCUUCCGCUGCGGGGACGGCGGCCAGUUGGUGCUGUGCGACCGCAAGUCCUGCACCAAGGCCUACCACCUGCCCUGCCUGGGCCUGGGCAAGCGGCCCUUCGGGAAGUGGGAGUGCCCUUGGCACCACUGCGACGUGUGUGGCAAACCCUCCACUGCCUUCUGCCACUUCUGCCCCAACUCCUUCUGCAAGGAGCACCAGGACACAGCGGCCUUCAGCUCCACCCAGGACGGGCGGGCGUGCUGCAGUGAGCACGACUUCCGGGCAGAGCCGGCUCGGAGCACCAAGACCGAGGAGCCGUGCUCAGGGCCCAGCAAGGCGCGGGGGCGGCGGCGGCGGCGGCGGUGUUGGCGCAGGGUCAUGGAGGGCAAAUAGCGCCUGGCUGGGCCGACCAGGGGUGGCUGCAGGCGGGCGGAGGGCCGGGCCUGGCAGCGUCGGAGGACCCCGCCCCCGGCCCCUGGCCCCGGCAUAGACGCACAGGCCUCCCCAGGGGGGAGCGUCCCGCCACUGAGCCAUCUCAGCAGCGCCCGCUGCGCCCGCACUGACCGUCCGAGCCACGUGGGCGCCCCGCGAGGCGCCAGCGUCCCAGGACAGACAGCCUCACUACACAGCGUCACAGCUACACUCGAACCUCAGCCCGUCCGUGCCCCGCUGUUCUAGGCCGAACUUGGGGCUGAAGAUUGCUGGCACAUGAAAUGCAUUUCUCUCGCCCGGGUGCUGUUUCCCUGAGGGUCUCAUCCCCAGGCUUCACGACGUUGCCCGCCUCCCGCCCGCCCGCGUCACUCAGGAGAGGAGCCCAGGGUGGGGCCUGGCAAGGACCGGGACCCAGGAUGCCUUGGGAACGUGGUUUUGACUAUUGCGCUUAUGAAACAGCUCUAUGGUUUUUUUUUUUUGUACUAAUGUGAAGUUUUUCCUCAAAGUGCUUCUUUUCCAUCCUAGUGAGAAGCCAGUAGUAUAGCGUGUGACCCCGGAGCGGCUCCGGCUGUGGACCUGACCCCACGGCAGGCCUGCGGCACAGGCCUGUGAGCAGCUCUCUGGGCCCUCGUGCGGAAGCGUUUGUGGAUGAUUUUGGUUGGUUUUUCUUUACCAGUUUCUGGCUUUUACUCUCAAUAUAUUUUUGCUAAACUUGUUUCACAAACUACCACCGACUGCAAUGCUUGUUUACUGAUGCGUCCCGAGUUCCCGCAGCUGCAGGACGGAGCGGUGGGUGUGGGCCCUGCUGAGGAGCCUGGGCUGCCCGGUGCCCCCACUGGGCCUGGAGCUUGAGGGGAACCUGUGUCCAGACAGCUCUUUCGGGCUGAGGAGAGGCUGCCUGGGCGGGGGCAGUGGGAGCCGGGCUGGGUGGAUAGGCUUGGUGGGGGCACUCAAGCCGGGCUGCUGGGUGUGGGCACCUGGCCUUGCGACAGCCAGCCGAUACCCCAGGGCACUGCGUGGACCUGGGCCCGGGCACGAUGCCAGCAGGAGCCCCCUUGCCUGCCCGUCUCCGCGCGAGGGGAGCGGCCGCUCAGCAGCUGCUGUUCUCUGACCCUUUCGCUGAAACCACCCAGACGACGUACAUCCUGCGGUUUACACACCUGCCCCGGAAAACCGCGCCUGAGGCCCCGUUCGUCUCGCCGUGCCGCUGCAGAAUUGCAGGACUGUCAGGUGCCCAGUUCUUGACCCUACGAGACGUGUAGCGAACGAGGACACGCUCACGUGCGGACGCUGUCUGCGGGUGGCAUGGUGCCCACCGCCCCGCCGAGACGACUCCAGCAGCACCUGGGUGUCGGCGUCAGUCACCCGGAAGGGGGCCAGGCUCCAGCUCUGGGGCACCCGGUGCUACUGCCAGUUCUGACAUUUAAGAACUUGAACUUCACUUCUGGGGGAUAUACUGAAAUGUAGAUUUG
Molecule: RNA transcript, 5851 nt
Organism: Budorcas taxicolor (takin)
Lineage: Eukaryota; Metazoa; Chordata; Mammalia; Artiodactyla; Bovidae
Gene: NSD2
Gene name: nuclear receptor binding SET domain protein 2
Exons: 24
Source: RefSeq, a predicted model, not a curated record